RNAcentral lists this long non-coding RNA (212 nucleotides) under Lathyrus oleraceus (garden pea). RNAcentral's name for it is "Pisum sativum (pea) long non-coding RNA (PSAT_LNC022654)". The record is from RNAcentral. Lineage: Eukaryota; Viridiplantae; Streptophyta; Magnoliopsida; Fabales; Fabaceae.
UGAAAUGAUGUUUUGCUUUGAAUUCUCAUUGAAUCAGGAAAAUAACGGUAAAUUAACUGUCAAAGUAUCAACAAUCAUGGCUUGUGCAUAUAGCAUACUGGAUAUUAAAAAUGCAUAUAGCAUAUCAAAUAUUUUAAAAUUGUCAGAUAGAUGUAGGGGCGUGGCUAGAUUUUUUAAAAAUCCAAUAGUCCAAUAGUGUUUUUUUUUUAAAA